GCCGGGCGUGGUGGCGCAUGCCUGUAAUCCCAGUCAUUCAAGAGGCUGAGACAGAAGGAUCGAGUGUUCAAAAGCCAGUCUCAGCAACCUAGCAAGGCCUUAAAUAACUCAGUGAGACUCUGUCUCUA
Molecule: small RNA, 128 nt
Filed under: Marmota monax (woodchuck)
Lineage: Eukaryota; Metazoa; Chordata; Mammalia; Rodentia; Sciuridae
Source: RNAcentral